GAGGAUUUAGGAAAGUGAAUUCCAACAUUAUUGAAGCAAAAUUGGUGAAGUUGAAUGAGGAUUGGAGAUGGCGUGUAACCUACUUACACAUAGAUGGAGACUCGGGAUGGCUGAUCUACACAGGCGUGGGCACCAUGUUUAUUACUCUUUGUUACCCAGCAUAAUUUCCGUUUAUAAAUUUAGCUAGCGGCCGUGCACAUCUUGAGGUGUCCGUCAACUCCAAACACAAGCCCCAUUCCCCUGUAUGACUAAAUUCAGAAAUAGUUCCUUUAAAUGUUGGAAAUGUUCUUGGUACUAAAGACAAUGUUGCAGCAAAGAAGUGGGUAUGACUUAUUGAUGACCAGGUGAUGAAUAUAUUGGUAGGGAUACAUGUAAUGGACCAUAUUUUUCACCAUUCCCAUAUGGCUAUGGACUUGAACACCUAUGGAAGAAGAAGAUGUGUAGCCAAAUACUUCUAGUAUGUAGCAGCCAAGGUGAUAUGUAGGAGCCAAGGUGAUACUGAGGAACUUCUUAGUUCAUACCAAUUACAUGAGUAUAGAGGACAAGUUUGUUAAAUGUUCAUGUUUUGUUAUUGCCAGUGACUUGAUAUGCAUGUGUUCUGAUGAUCCAACAAACACUGCCUCUUUUGGUGAUCACCCACCUUUUGGAGCAUGUUGAACUUUGAUUUCAAUCCAUGUCCGUGUCUUUAUGAUCAGUCAUUGACAUUGUGAGACU
This is a long non-coding RNA of Triticum dicoccoides, 714 nucleotides long. RefSeq lists it as uncharacterized. The record is from RefSeq and is a predicted model, not a curated record. The transcript is spliced from 4 exons. Lineage: Eukaryota; Viridiplantae; Streptophyta; Magnoliopsida; Poales; Poaceae.